RNAcentral lists this long non-coding RNA (462 nucleotides) under Cicer arietinum (chickpea). RNAcentral's name for it is "long non-coding RNA (CARI_LNC000928)". Lineage: Eukaryota; Viridiplantae; Streptophyta; Magnoliopsida; Fabales; Fabaceae. The record is from RNAcentral.
CGAGAAACAAUACGUGAAUGAAAGAAUAUUUGUGAGUGAAAAAUUAAAUACAUAGCUGCAUUGGUGAGCUAUAUAUAAUUAAAAAGUAAACAUUUACAAAAAGAAUGUGUAAGCCUAUAUAGAUGAAUUAGUAAGGUUGGUAAGUUGGUAGGUGUUAUGAACAACUUAUUUAGUUAUUUAUCAUACAUAUACUUAGGGAAUAAUUGGAUCGGGUUUUGAUGGCCUUGGUGGGCCACGUGGAAGUAACUGUAACAAAAGCCCAUCAAAUUCCCUCGACAUUAAUCGAUCAUCUUGCAAAGGCCUACAGGCAGCUCCAAGUUGAGAAGAAACGACGAGAAUGAAGAAAAUGAUCACUAGAACUAUAAAAAGGUUCCUCAUGUUAUAAGAGAAAGCCAUGUCUAUUAAUUAUCUCUUUUCUUGAUAAGCUUUAAUUGGGAAAAUUGAGUUUGUGUUGCUAAGGCG